UCCGAGUUGACCCCGGCAGUCUCCCAUGAGUCCCCGGCACAACCCGCUGGCAACAUGGAACGAGGGUUGCGCUCGUUGCGGGACUUAACCCAACACCUCACGGCACGAGCUGACGACAGCCAUGCACCACCUGUGAAGGUGCCCCGAAGGGAGACCGUGUUUCUCGAGACUUUCCCCUAGAUGUCAAGCCCAGGUAAGGUUCUUCGCGUUGCGUCGAAUUAAACCACAUGCUCCACCGCUUGUGCGGGCCCCCGUCAAUUCCUUUGAGUUUCAGCCUUGCGGCCGUACUCCCCAGGCGGGGCACUUAAUGCGUUAGCGCCGGCACCCAGGGGGUCGCUCCCCCAGGCACCUAGUGCCCAUCGUUUACGGCGUGGACUAC
Molecule: unclassified non-coding RNA, 379 nt
Filed under: uncultured bacterium
Lineage: Bacteria
Description: contains 16S-23S intergenic spacer region
Source: RNAcentral